Triticum dicoccoides is the source of this 394-nucleotide long non-coding RNA. RefSeq lists it as uncharacterized. The transcript has 3 exons. The record is from RefSeq and is a predicted model, not a curated record. NCBI's taxonomy places the organism in Eukaryota, Viridiplantae, Streptophyta, Magnoliopsida, Poales, Poaceae.
GACGUCAUGACGGUUCCCCAAGCCUAGCUAGAGUUUCUCCCGUCCCCAGCCCGUGCCGGACCGGCGGAUUCCCUCCCUCCGGCCCGGCGCGCGGCUAUAUAUACCACCGCAAGCAGCGUCCAUUGCUCCUCACCAAGCAAGAGCAAAACCAAUCAACCACAGGUCGAUCGAUUCGCGAAGUACCCUCCGAUCACAACCCAAGACCGCCAUGGCUGACAAGUGCGGCAACUGCGACUGCGCCGACAAGACCCAGAAGAAGGGCGACGGCUACGGCAUCGUCAUGGUCGACACCGAGAAGAGCCACUUCGAGGUGCAGGAGGCCGCGGAGAACGACGGCAAGUGCAAGUGCGGCGCCAGCUGCACCUGCACCAACUGCACCUGCGGCCACUGAACA